Molecule: long non-coding RNA, 1929 nt
Filed under: Astyanax mexicanus (Mexican tetra)
Lineage: Eukaryota; Metazoa; Chordata; Actinopteri; Characiformes; Acestrorhamphidae
Description: lncRNA (ENSAMXG00005008626.1)
Source: RNAcentral
CGUUCUUUCACUUUGUGAAAGUUUCUAUGAGGUGCGAAUGCGGCUGUUUCCUGUAGGGUGUUUUAAACUGAAUGAAUUUACAAUCUUGAUCUCCUCGAACCUCCAACAAACACAGAGAUGGCAGAGAUAGUCAUGUCUCCAGUAAUCCAGCCUUACCUCCAACCGGGGAUGACCAUAGUCCAGCCAGAUGCCAUGUCUCCAACAAUCCAGCCUGAGUAUCAGCAGGUGAUGACUGUAGUCCAGCCAGAUGCCAUGUCUCCAACAAUAAUCCAGCCUCAGUAUCAGCAAGGGAUGACCAUAGUCCAGCCAGAAGCCAUGUCUCCAACAAUAAUGCAGCAGCCUCAGCCUCAGGAGGUGAUGACCGUGGUCCCUCCUGAAGCCAUGUCUCCAACAAUAAUCCAGCAGCCUCAGCAGGUGAUGACCAUGGUCCCUCCAGAAGCCAUGUCUCCAACAAUAAUCCAGCAGCCUCAGCAGGUGAUGACCGUGGUCCCUCCAGACGCCAUGUCUCCAACAAUAAUCCAGCAGCCUCAGCAGGUGAUGACCGUGGUCCCUCCAGACGCCAUGUCUCCAACAAUUAUCCAGCCUCAGCCUCAGCAGGUGAUGACUGUGGUCCCUCCAGAUGCCAUGUCUCCAACAAUAGUCCAGCCUCAGCCUCAGCAGGUGAUGACCGUGGUCCCUCCAGACGCCAUGUCUCCAACAAUAAUCCAGCCUGAGCCUCAGCACAUGAUGACUGUGGUCUCUCCAGUCCAGGCCAUAGUCCCACAAACUCAAGCAGUGGGUGAGUGUUCAGCAUGUCUAUUUUUAUUAAAUUUCAGAAAGACCUAACCAUUACAGAUCCUCUCUUGAUUUAGGGCAUGUCAGUGUGUUUUUGCUAUCGUAACGACAGGAAAAGUACACCUUGCAUGUUUCAAAACAUGCAAAAGACAUGUACUAAUUCUCUUAUUUAAAGCCGAUGUCCGUAAGUUUUGCGAUUUGGGGGAUUUAGGGCCCUCUCUGGUGAGAAUAGGUAAUUGAUCCGAGCAUGUGGAAGAAUCCUUUUAAACUCAGCGGGCAUGGUGCAGUCUCCUUUCUGAGUGCAUGAAUCUGAUUCCAGGUUAUGUUCAGCCAGAGAAAGAGUAAGUGCUUAGUCAGAAACUUCACUUCAACUACACACUAUGAGUAAAUGAGCCCUUCUGAAGUCUCCAUUGCUCCGCCAACUGCUGUGCAUUCAUAGCGCAGAAAACGAGUCAAAGAGUCGAUAAGCGGCGACAGUGUACAGUUGUAGCGCAGAAAACAAGCCAAAGAGUUGAAUAGUGGGGAGAGUGCACAGUUGUAGCACAGAAAACGAGCCAAAGAGUUGAUAAGCGGCGAUAUUGUACAGUUGUAGUGCAGAAAACGAGCCUAAGAGUUGAAAAGUGGGGAGAGUGCAGAGUUGUAGCGCAGAAAACAAGCCAAAGAGUUGAUAAUGGGAGACAGUGUACAGUUGUAGCGCAGAAAACAAGCCAAAGAGUUGAUAAGGGGAGACAGUGUACAGUUGUAGCGCAGAAAACGAGCCUAAGAGUUGAAAAGUGGGGAGAGUGCACAGUUUUAGCGCAGAAAACAAGCCAAAGAGUUGAUAAGUGGAAAGAGUGUGCGGUUGUAGCGCAGAAAACAAGCCAAAAAAAUGUAAAAGAGUGUGCAUUUGUAGUACGUAAAGACGUGUGAAGUGGCCAGAAGUAGAACUCCUGCAAAAAGUGACCCGACACCCCAGUUUUUAGAAUGAAUAUAUUAGGCUUAGCAGGGAUGGUGGUUCCAGCUCACUGUUACCAUUAAACACUAUAUUUUAUCCAUAUUCUUCUUUACUAAGAAAUGCUUCUGUUUUCAGCUUAGAAACAAAACUAAGCUGGUUUAUUUCAGGUUUUGGACGUAGCAUGAAAUAAACCAAUCAGAGUGCCACUCUAGUGUGCGUAA